This 468-nucleotide ribosomal RNA is filed under the name uncultured bacterium. Its description in RNAcentral is "partial 16S ribosomal RNA". It matches the Rfam family "Bacterial small subunit ribosomal RNA", at positions 28 to 507 of the family's 1533-position model. The record is from RNAcentral.
GACGAACCCUGGCGGCGUGCUUAACACAUGCAAGUCGAACGGAAAGGCCCUGCUUUUGUGGGGUGCUCGAGUGGCGAACGGGUGAGUAACACGUGAGUAACCUGCCCUUGACUUUGGGAUAACUUCAGGAAACUGGGGCUAAUACCGGAUAGGAGCUCCUGCUGCAUGGUGGGGGUUGGAAAGUUUCGGCGGUUGGGGAUGGACUCGCGGCUUAUCAGCUUGUUGGUGGGGUAGUGGCUUACCAAGGCUUUGACGGGUAGCCGGCCUGAGAGGGUGACCGGCCACAUUGGGACUGAGAUACGGCCCAGACUCCUACGGGAGGCAGCAGUGGGGAAUAUUGCACAAUGGGCGGAAGCCUGAUGCAGCAACGCCGCGUGCGGGAUGACGGCCUUCGGGUUGUAAACCGCUUUCGCCUGUGACGAAGCGUGAGUGACGGUAAUGGGUAAAGAAGCACCGGCUGACUACGUG